UACGUAGGUGGCAAGCGUUGUCCGGAUUUACUGGGCGUAAAGAGCGCGCAGGCGGUCGAUCAAGUCGCGUGUGAAAGCCCCCGGCUCAACUGGGGAGGGUCACGCGAUACUGAUCGACUCGAAGGCAGGAGAGGGUAGUGGAAUUCCCGGUGUAGUGGUGAAAUGCGUAGAUAUCGGGAGGAGCACCAGUGGCGAAGGCGACUACCUGGCCUGUUCUUGACGCUGAGGCGCGAAAGCUAGGGGAGCAAACGGG
This 253-nucleotide ribosomal RNA is filed under the name uncultured bacterium. RNAcentral's name for it is "partial 16S ribosomal RNA". It matches the Rfam family "Bacterial small subunit ribosomal RNA", at positions 524 to 776 of the family's 1533-position model. The record is from RNAcentral.